RNAcentral lists this ribosomal RNA (253 nucleotides) under uncultured bacterium. RNAcentral describes it as "partial 16S ribosomal RNA". It matches the Rfam family "Bacterial small subunit ribosomal RNA", at positions 524 to 776 of the family's 1533-position model. The record is from RNAcentral.
UACGUAGGUGGCGAGCGUUGUCCGGAAUUACUGGGGGUAAAGCGCGCGUAGGCGGUAGGCCAAGUCUGCUGUGAAAUCGCCCGGCUCAACUGGGCGCGGUCGGUGGAAACUGGUCAACUGGAGGACGGUAGAGGCGAGUGGAAUUCCCGGUGUAGUGGUGAAAUGCGUAGAGAUCGGGAGGAACACCAGUGGCGAAGGCGGCUCGCUGGGCCGGACCUGACGCUGAGGCGCGAAGGCGUGGGGAGCGAACGGG